Molecule: ribosomal RNA, 225 nt
Filed under: uncultured Rhodoferax sp.
Lineage: Bacteria; Pseudomonadati; Pseudomonadota; Betaproteobacteria; Burkholderiales; Comamonadaceae
Description: partial 16S ribosomal RNA
Rfam family: Bacterial small subunit ribosomal RNA
Source: RNAcentral
GAGAACCGGAGGAAGGUGGGGAUGACGUCAAGUCCUCAUGGCCCUUAUAGGUGGGGCUACACACGUCAUACAAUGGCUGGUACAAAGGGUUGCCAACCCGCGAGGGGGAGCCAAUCCCAUAAAGCCAGUCGUAGUCCGGAUCGUAGUCUGCAACUCGACUACGUGAAGUCGGAAUCGCUAGUAAUCGUGGAUCAGAGUGUCACGGUGAAUACGUUCCCGGGUCUU